UGCUAGCGAACUUGCCAGCCAUUGUACACAAAAAGGUCAAGUUCUCCCUCAAUACAAAGUAAUCCUUUUGUACUCCAAAAGCCAAAGAGGUCAGGAAACUCAAUGCAAAAGAGAGCAGAGCUUUAGACCUGAGAAAAGCAUGCCCGCAAUUCUCAAGACUCCACAAGAGAAAGAGAAAACCAAACCCCAAAUGAGUAAAACCAGACCAUUCAUUUGAUGCUGCCUGACCCCAAGGAAGGGGUGCAGCCUCAUGCAAGGCCCUUGCUGAGAGCCAUUCCAGGAGAUGGAUUCAGCUAUGAGGCGCCGACAGCUAGCAGUGUAGCUGCGAGGAUCCGAAUAUCCACCACAGCCUGCUGUGCAACUCUGAGUCAUAUUUAAAACUCAAAACCUACUAAGACAUGUUGAGACCCAAUGCUUGCUAAUGUUCGUCUGUUUUUGGAGUUGGUGUCUGGCUUCUCCACCAGUUGUGAGUUCCUGGAAAGGAGAUCUCAAGACCUAUUUCAUUUUCCUCCUAGUGAAGGAUGAUAUUCAUAAUAGUUGAUGCUCAGUACAGCAUAGGCACUGACCAAUUCAAACUGACACAGGUUUUAAGCAAUUUGCAUGGCAAUAUUGCUGUAUAGAGCUGAAUAUUUGUUCUACACAUAGAAGGCAUCCAAUAAACAAUUUUGAAUUGAAUUUUA
Molecule: long non-coding RNA, 680 nt
Organism: Cebus imitator (Panamanian white-faced capuchin)
Lineage: Eukaryota; Metazoa; Chordata; Mammalia; Primates; Cebidae
Exons: 3
Source: RefSeq, a predicted model, not a curated record